Molecule: ribosomal RNA, 638 nt
Filed under: uncultured bacterium
Lineage: Bacteria
Description: bacterial SSU rRNA
Rfam family: Bacterial small subunit ribosomal RNA
Source: RNAcentral
UAUCCGGAUUUAUUGGGCGUAAAGGGCUCGUAGGCGGCUCGUCGCGUCCGGUGUGAAAGUCCAUCGCUUAACGGUGGAUCUGCGCCGGGUACGGGCGGGCUGGAGUGCGGUAGGGGAGACUGGAAUUCCCGGUGUAACGGUGGAAUGUGUAGAUAUCGGGAAGAACACCGAUGGCGAAGGCAGGUCUCUGGGCCGUCACUGACGCUGAGGAGCGAAAGCGUGGGGAGCGAACAGGAUUAGAUACCCUGGUAGUCCACGCCGUAAACGGUGGACGCUGGAUGUGGGGCACGUUCCACGUGUUCCGUGUCGGAGCUAACGCGUUAAGCGUCCCGCCUGGGGAGUACGGCCGCAAGGCUAAAACUCAAAGAAAUUGACGGGGGCCCGCACAAGCGGCGGAGCAUGCGGAUUAAUUCGAUGCAACGCGAAGAACCUUACCUGGGCUUGACAUGUUCCCGACGACGCCAGAGAUGGCGUUUCCCUUCGGGGCGGGUUCACAGGUGGUGCAUGGUCGUCGUCAGCUCGUGUCGUGAGAUGUUGGGUUAAGUCCCGCAACGAGCGCAACCCUCGCCCCGUGUUGCCAGCACGUUAUGGUGGGAACUCACGGGGGACCGCCGGGGUUAACUCGGAGGAAGGUGGGG